This 459-nucleotide ribosomal RNA is filed under the name uncultured bacterium. RNAcentral's name for it is "partial 16S ribosomal RNA". It matches the Rfam family "Bacterial small subunit ribosomal RNA", at positions 338 to 795 of the family's 1533-position model. The record is from RNAcentral.
CCUACGGGAGGCAGCAGUGAGGAAUAUUGGUCAAUGGCCGCAGGGCUGAACCAGCCAAGUCGCGUGAGGGAUGACGGUCCUAUGGAUUGUAAACCUCUUUUGUCAGGGAGCAAAGGGCGCCACGUGUGGCGCUUUGCGAGUACCUGAAGAAAAAGCAUCGGCUAACUCCGUGCCAGCAGCCGCGGUAAUACGGAGGAUGCGAGCGUUAUCCGGUUUUAUUGGGUUUAAAGGGUGUGCAGGCGGAAUGUCAAGUCAGCGGUAAAAUUUCGGGGCUCAACCCCGUCGUGCCGUUGAAACUGGCGUUCUUGAGUGAGCGAGAAGUAUGCGGAAUGCGUGGUGUAGCGGUGAAAUGCAUAGAUAUCACGCAGAACUCCGAUUGCGAAGGCAGCAUACCGGCGCGCAACUGACGCUCAUGCACGAAAGCGUGGGUAUCGAACAGGAUUAGAUACCCGAGUAGUC